Molecule: ribosomal RNA, 330 nt
Filed under: uncultured Actinomycetes bacterium
Lineage: Bacteria; Bacillati; Actinomycetota; Actinomycetes
Description: bacterial SSU rRNA
Rfam family: Bacterial small subunit ribosomal RNA
Source: RNAcentral
GACGAACGCUGGCGGCGUGCUUAACACAUGCAAGUGGUGCGACGAACCAGGGCUUGCCCUGGGGCAAAGCCGCGAACGGGUGAGUAACACGUGGGUAAUCUGCCCCGAUGACCGGGACAACCCGAGGAAACUCGGGCUAAUACCGGAUGUGGUGCCCAGGCAUAAGCCUGUGUACUAAAGGAAGCUUCGGCCUCCGCAUUGGGAGGUGCCCGCGGCCCAUUAGCUUGUUGGUGGGGUAAUGGCCUACCAAGGCGACGAUGGGUAGCUGGUCUGAGAGGACGAUCAGCCACACUGGGACUGAGACACGGCCCAGACUCCUACGGGUGGCUG